GAAAUACUCCCUCCGUCCCAAAAUUCUUGUCUUAGAUUUGUCUAAAUACGGAUGUAUCAAGUCAUGUUUUGGUAUUAGAUACAUCCGUAUCUAGUCUAGUAUAAGACAAAAUUUUUGGGACGGAGGGAGUAUAAG
Triticum urartu is the source of this 135-nucleotide non-coding RNA. NCBI's taxonomy places the organism in Eukaryota, Viridiplantae, Streptophyta, Magnoliopsida, Poales, Poaceae. The record is from Rfam.